Molecule: ribosomal RNA, 575 nt
Filed under: Aspergillus proliferans
Lineage: Eukaryota; Fungi; Ascomycota; Eurotiomycetes; Eurotiales; Aspergillaceae
Description: eukaryotic LSU rRNA
Rfam family: Eukaryotic large subunit ribosomal RNA
Source: RNAcentral
AAAGAAACCAACCGGGAUUGCCUCAGUAACGGCGAGUGAAGCGGCAAGAGCUCAAAUUUGAAAUCUGGCCCCUCCGGGGUCCGAGUUGUAAUUUGUAGAGGAUGCUUCGGGUGCGGCCCCCGUCUAAGUGCUCUGGAACGGGCCAUCGGAGAGGGUGAGAAUCCCGUCUGGGACGGGGUGUCCGCGUCCAUGUGAAGCUCCUUCGACGAGUCGAGUUGUUUGGGAAUGCAGCUCUAAAUGGGUGGUAAAUUUCAUCUAAAGCUAAAUACUGGCCGGAGACCGAUAGCGCACAAGUAGAGUGAUCGAAAGAUGAAAAGCACUUUGAAAAGAGAGUUAAACAGCACGUGAAAUUGUUGAAAGGGAAGCGCUUGCGACCAGACUCGCUUCCGGGGUUCAGCCGGCUUUCGGGCCGGUGUACUUCCCCGGGGGCGGGCCAGCGUCGGUUUGGGCGGCCGGUCAAAGGCCCCUGGAAUGUAACGCCCCUCGGGGCGCCUUAUAGCCAGGGGUGUCAUGCGGCCAGCCUGGACCGAGGAACGCGCUUCGGCACGGACGCUGGCAUAAUGGUCGUAAACGAC